CUUUGUAAUUUGUAGCAACAAACCUGGGGUCAGACACUCCACUGCCUGUGCAUCUUGCCUGUUUCCGGAUCCGCCGUGUCACAGACAUUUUCUAUGUCAGUGCCUAUGGCUCUACCCAGGGUGAUGCUGCUGAUCUGGUCUGAUUCCCAAGCUGGAGGUAAUGGCGUGUGUCCUGCCCUAGUGCUGCUCCCUGAUGGGGAGCAUGCUCAGUUUCCUGCAUUCAGGUACGAGCAGAGACUUGGCAGGAUCCGCCCCGUUCAGAGUUGCAGGAAGAGCCCUGGAUGCCUGUCGCAAAUUGGAAUAAGUGGGAGGGAGCCACAGGCUGGUACAGAGACAAGGUAUUGCUGUGUUGUCCAGGCUGGUCACAGACUCCUGGCUGCAAGUGAUCCUCCUGCCUCAGCCUCCUAGAGUGCUGGGAUUACAGACGUGAGCUACCACACCUGGCUUUUCAUUCCUUUUAAUGGCUAAAUAAUGUUCCAUUCUAUAGAUACAUAUUUUUUUCCCCAUUCAUCAGUUGAAGGACAUUUGGGUUGUUCCUAGUUUUUGGCUAUGGUGAGUAAUACUGCUAUGGAUAUUCAUGUACAGGUUUUUGUGUGAACAUAUGUUUUCAUUUCUCUUGGGUACAUACCUGGGAAUGGAAUUGCUGGUUCAAAUGGAAACUCUUUAAGUUUUUAGUAACUGCCAGACUGCUUCCUAAAGCAGCUGCACCAUUUUACAUUCACACCAGCAGUGUAUGAAGGAUCCAGUUUCUUCACGUCGUCACCAGCACUUGCCUGUCUUUGUACACCAAUCAAAGGUGUAUGAAGUCGAUCUCAUUGUGUUUUUCAUUUGUAUAUCCCUGAUGGCUAAUGAUGUUGCCCAUCUCUUAAUGUGUUUAUUUGGUCUUUUGUACAUCAUCUUGUGGAAAAAUGUCUGUUAAGAUGGUUUGCCCAUUUAAAAAUAGUGUUAUAUGUCUUUUAUUAUUGAGUAACAGUUCUUUAUAUGUUGUGGAUACAAGUCCUUUAUCAGAUGUGUGAUUUUAAGUAUGUUCUCUCAUUCUGUGGGUCAUCUACACGUUCUUAAAAAAUUUUUUGAGACAGAGGCUUUUUAAACAAAUUUUUUUGAGACAGAGUUUACCUCCCAAGCUGGAGUCCAGUGGUGAGAUUUCGGCUCACUACAACCACCACCUCCUGGGUCCAAAUGAUCUUCCCACCCCAGCCUUCUGAGUAGUUUGGACUACAGGUACAUGCCACCACACCUGGCUAAUUUUUGUAUUUUUUGUAGAGAUGGGGUCUUGCUGUGUUGCCCAGGCUAAUAUCGAAUGCUUGGGCUCAAGCUAUCUGUCUGCCUUGGGUUCCCAAAGUACUGGGACUACAGGCGUGAGCUGCUACACCUAGCCUGCAUCUUCACUUUCUUGAUGGUAUCAUUUGCAGCACAAAACUUUUAUCUAUUUUUUUUCUUUUGUUUGUGGUUUUGGUUUAUAUUUAAAUAGGCUUCACCUGACCCAGGGUUUUGAAGAUUUACUUUUAUAUCUUCUAAGAGUUUCAUAGUUUUAGGUUUUACAUUUAGGUAUAUGGUCCAUUUUUUUUGUGUAUUGCAUAGGAAAGGGUCCCAACUUCAUUCUUUUGCAUGUGGAUGUGAAGUUUUCCCAGCACCAUUUGUUGAAAAGGCGAUUCUUUUUCUGUUAAAUUUUCUUGGCACCUGUGUUGAAAUCAAAUAUGCAGAGGUCUUGACACACUGUUACUGUCCAGUCUCUACACAUGCUGUCCUUCUCUCCCACAAAGUGUAAUAAUGUAAUAAUGCAAUAACGUGCCUGAUAACCAAAUGAGUGGAUUUCAGCAGUCCCCCUUUGUCUGAAACCUUUGUGAUCAGAGGGAAUAAACAUCUUAGAGGCAUGAAGCCCUUGCUCAGAUAAGGAGAAGAUAGAGAACCAAAGUGCCAUAAUGUACCAAGUAAAAAGCAUCAGAUGUGCCAGAAAAUAAGCAGUAGGAAUUAACUUUGAGGGUUAUCACAGGAACACUAUGUAGAGUAAGCACAAGCAGCUCAGCUGUGGACGAGCUUUGCUGUAGAUUUUGCUGCAAACCUCUGCAGGCCUGAGAGCUUGCCGUGGGUCCAGAGAGCAGCAGAUGUACUUGGCUGUGACGUCACUGGAUGUGUCCUGAUCUACUCCUUCUCCUUCUCAUACAUGAGGUUAUCUGAGGUCUCAGCCAAGAGACAAAUCAGCACUUUACCCACGGACAGCACCAAAGCUCGCCAUCUUGGCCGCUGCCCCAGAACCUUGGAAACUUCUGCAGUGAAAUGGAUUCUGAUUAUUUUUAUUACCUUUGUUCUUUUUUUAGAAUUGAAGUCUGGAAUACAUAAAGUGUGUUAAUAUUAAGUGCAACUUCGUGACCUUUUAAUUGAGGUAUUACUGUGUAACCAUCACCAGAUUAAUAUAUGGAACAUCAUAAGUACCCUGGGAGACUCCUUGUGCUAUUUCCCACUCAGUGCUCUCCUCUUAAAGAGGUCAGCACUGUUCCGGUUCUUCUAUUACCAUAUAUUUGUUUUGCCUGCUCAUGAACUUCAAAUAAAUAAAAACUAUGGUAUGUAAAAAAAAAAAAAAAAAA
RNAcentral lists this long non-coding RNA (2585 nucleotides) under Homo sapiens (human). RNAcentral describes it as "MAGI1 intronic transcript 1 (MAGI1-IT1)". Lineage: Eukaryota; Metazoa; Chordata; Mammalia; Primates; Hominidae. The record is from RNAcentral.